Molecule: microRNA precursor, 102 nt
Filed under: Marmota monax (woodchuck)
Lineage: Eukaryota; Metazoa; Chordata; Mammalia; Rodentia; Sciuridae
Source: RNAcentral
AGUAGAAUUGCUGGAUCAUAGGGUAUAUGUAUUUCAGCUGUAAAAGAUAUUACCAAGAAGUUUUCCAAAGUGGUUGUAUCAUUUUCUGCUCCAAUCAACAAU